Molecule: long non-coding RNA, 481 nt
Organism: Hippocampus zosterae (dwarf seahorse)
Lineage: Eukaryota; Metazoa; Chordata; Actinopteri; Syngnathiformes; Syngnathidae
Exons: 2
Source: RefSeq, a predicted model, not a curated record
ACAUUAAACGCCAACGCCGUGUCGAGGAUUUUUAAUGAGCCAGGUGGGAUUCCGGUGCGGUUUAACAGCCAAGACUGAUUUCUGAAAGACGCAUCUGAGUCGCGACGCGCUUCUACGGUGUCGCUCCUUCGUGUCAUUGUCAGCGUCUUUGUUUUGCCUUAUGUCCUUGCGUCACGCUAAUAUUUUGGAUGCAACCUUCAGACGCACCGUUCGUCCUUGUUUUUUUUUUGUCCCUAAAAUUGGAUAAUAUAUCUCCAGAACAAGCAUCGUGUUUGACGUCGGACAUGGCAACGGAAUGUUAAUCAUUUGUUUUGCAGUCUUUGUUUUCCUCUUGUAUGGAUGCUAUUUUGGUUGGUUCAAAAAUGUUGAGAUUUCUCUUAGCAAUGGCGAGUUUGUCCUAAUUAAUAAGAACCUGGUUGCAGUCUCCUCUGGACUUGGCUUUCUCCCCGUUGAACUUUUGCUCAGUCGCCUCCAAAUGGAG